CCUACGGGGGGCAGCAGUGAGGAAUAUUGGUCAAUGGGCUUAAGCCUGAACCAGCCAAGUCGCGUGAGGGAAGACUGCCCUAUGGGUUGUAAACCUCUUUUGUCAGGGAGCAACGCCGGCUACGUGUAGCCGAACUGAGAGCACCUGAAGAAAAAGCAUCGGCUAACUCCGUGCCAGCAGCCGCGGUAUUACGGAGGAUGCGUGCGUAAUCCGGAUUGAUUGGGUUUAAAGGGUGCGUGGGCGGAAUGCCAAGUCAGCGGGAAAAUCGCGGGGCUCAACCUCGCUCUGCUGUUGAAACUGGCGUGCUUGAGUGUGCGAGAAGUAUGCGGAAUGCGUGGUGGAGCGGUGAAAUGCAUAGAUAUCACGAAGAACUCCGAUUGCGAAGGCAGAAUGCCGGAGCCCAACUGACGCUGAAGCACGAAAGCGUGGGUAUCGAACAGGAUUAGAUACCCCAGUAGUC
RNAcentral lists this ribosomal RNA (460 nucleotides) under uncultured bacterium. RNAcentral describes it as "partial 16S ribosomal RNA". It matches the Rfam family "Bacterial small subunit ribosomal RNA", at positions 338 to 795 of the family's 1533-position model. The record is from RNAcentral.